ACCGCCCCUGGCAGUCGGAAGUUGCUUGAACGGAGCUCAGCCGGCCGGCCAAGCGACCGGUUUUCGUCGUCUCCUGGGCGCCCUGUGAGAGUCACUGACGGGUGGAAGGACUGACCGCCAGUGGAGGGCCGGCCGGGGCAGUGGCAGCGCGGGCCGGAUGGCGCGGGUCGCGUGAGGCGGCAGGCCGAGUGCGGCCCGCGGUGCGCCCGCCCAGCGAUGCGGGCCCCGCCCGUCGCCUCAG
Molecule: long non-coding RNA, 241 nt
Filed under: Rattus norvegicus (Norway rat)
Lineage: Eukaryota; Metazoa; Chordata; Mammalia; Rodentia; Muridae
Description: long non-coding RNA NONRATT019880
Source: RNAcentral